AGCGAACGCUGGCGGCAGGCCUAACACAUGCAAGUCGAACGAACCUUUCGGGGUUAGUGGCGGACGGGUGCGUAACACGUGGGAACGUGCCUUUAGGUUCGGAAUAACUCAGGGAAACUUGUGCUAAUACCGAAUGUGCCCUUCGGGGGAAAGAUUUAUCGCCUUUAGAGCGGCCCGCGUCUGAUUAGCUAGUUGGUUGGGGUAAUGGCUCACCAAGGCGACGAUCAGUAGCUGGUCUGAGAGGAUGAUCAGCCACAUUGGGACUGAGACACGGCCCAAACUCCUACGGGAGGCAGCAGUGGGGAAUCUUGCGCAAUGGGCGAAAGCCUGACGCAGCCAUGCCGCGUGAAUGAUGAAGGUCUUAGGAUUGUAAAAUUCUUUCACCGGGGACGAUAAUGACGGUACCCGGAGAAGAAGCCCCGGCUAACUUCGUG
RNAcentral lists this ribosomal RNA (434 nucleotides) under uncultured bacterium. Its description in RNAcentral is "partial 16S ribosomal RNA". It matches the Rfam family "Bacterial small subunit ribosomal RNA", at positions 29 to 507 of the family's 1533-position model. The record is from RNAcentral.